ACCCCUGGCAGCCCUUCCUGAUGAUUCUUCUUCCUAAGCCUAUUAUGAUGAGCAAACUGAGCCUCUAAGUUGACUAAAGGGGCUGCUUCCCC
Molecule: small nucleolar RNA, 92 nt
Filed under: Aotus nancymaae (Ma's night monkey)
Lineage: Eukaryota; Metazoa; Chordata; Mammalia; Primates; Aotidae
Description: Small nucleolar RNA SNORD125 (ENSANAG00000010740.1)
Rfam family: Small nucleolar RNA SNORD125
Source: Rfam by way of RNAcentral